AGAUUGAACGCUGGCGGCAUGCCUAACACAUGCAAGUCGAACGGGAGUAGCAAUACUCUAGCGGCGGACGGGUGAGUAAUGCCUAGGAAUCUGCCUAGUGGUGGGGGAUAACGUUCGGAAACGGACGCUAAUACCGCAUACGUCCUACGGGAGAAAGCGGGGGACCUUCGGGCCUCGCGCCAUUAGAUGAGCCUAGGUCGGAUUAGCUAGUUGGUGAGGUAAUGGCUCACCAAGGCGACGAUCCGUAACUGGUCUGAGAGGACGAUCAGGCACACUGGAACUGAGACACGGUCCAGACACCUACGGGUGGCAGCAGUCGAGAAUAAUUCACAAUGGGGGCAAACCCUGAAUGGUGCAACGCCGCGUGGAGGAUGAAGGUCUUCGGAUUGUAAACUCCUGUCAUCUGGGAGUAAGACCUGGCUGUGAAUA
This 429-nucleotide ribosomal RNA is filed under the name uncultured soil bacterium. Its description in RNAcentral is "bacterial SSU rRNA". It matches the Rfam family "Bacterial small subunit ribosomal RNA", at positions 26 to 465 of the family's 1533-position model. The record is from RNAcentral.